Long non-coding RNA from Fukomys damarensis (Damara mole-rat), 283 nucleotides. RefSeq lists it as uncharacterized. The transcript has 3 exons. NCBI's taxonomy places the organism in Eukaryota, Metazoa, Chordata, Mammalia, Rodentia, Bathyergidae. The record is from RefSeq and is a predicted model, not a curated record.
UCCUGUCCGGAUGGCACUCAGCAGCAGCAUUCUGAUUCCACUUUAUAAAGGCACUUGUAAAAGAGGACAUCCAGAACUGCUUCAGAAAGUGGCAAGACGGGUGAGCCUGAGCCUCUCGUAACCUGCCGGGGUGUCCUUGGGACAUGGCAGCUGGCUUUUCCCAGAGUGAGGGACCUAAGAAGAGAGAGAGACAGAGAGCCCAAGACCCACCAACCCUGUUAUGGCUAUACCUGCAGAAGCUGCCUACAGAAAGAGCGAGCCCAGACUCCGUGGGACCAACAUA